AGAGUUUGAUCCUGGCUCAGGACGAACGCUGGCGGCGUGCUUAACACAUGCAAGUCGAGCGGGGACAUAAAACGGAAGGUUUCGGCUGGAAGGUUCAUGUUCUAGCGGCGGACGGGUGAGUAACGCGUGAACAAUCUGUCCCAGACAGGGGGAUAACACUUGGAAACAGGUGCUAAUACCGCAUAAGACCACGAGAUCACAUGAUCUUGAGGUAAAAGGAGCAAUCCGGUCUGGGGUGAGUUCGCGUCCGAUUAGCUAGUUGGCGAGGUAACGGCCCACCAAGGCGACGAUCGGUAGCCGACCUGAGAGGGUGAUCGGCCACAUUGGAACUGAGAAACGGUCCAAACUCCUACGGGAGGCAGCAGUGGGGAAUAUUGGGCAAUGGGCGAAAGCCUGACCCAGCAACGCCGCGUGAGGGAAGAAGGUUUUCGGAUUGUAAACCUCUGUCCUCAGGGACGAAGGAAGUGACGGUACCUGAGGAGGAAGCCCCGGCUAACUACGUGCCAGCAGCCGCGGUAAUACGUAGGGGGCGAGCGUUGUCCGGAAUGACUGGGCGUAAAGGGCGUGUAGGCGGCUCUUUAAGUCUGGAGUGAAAGUCCUGCUUUCAAGGUGGGAAUUGCUUUGGAGACUGGAGAGCUUGAGUGCGGAAGAGGUAAGUGGAAUUCCCAGUGUAGCGGUGAAAUGCGUAGAGAUUGGGAGGAACACCAGUGGCGAAGGCGACUUACUGGGCCGUAACUGACGCUGAGGCGCGAAAGCGUGGGGAGCGAACAGGAUUAGAUACCCUGGUAGUCC
RNAcentral lists this ribosomal RNA (792 nucleotides) under uncultured bacterium. RNAcentral's name for it is "bacterial SSU rRNA". It matches the Rfam family "Bacterial small subunit ribosomal RNA", at positions 8 to 796 of the family's 1533-position model. The record is from RNAcentral.